CAAACACUCAUACGGACUUUGGCUACACCACCAAAGCCUUGAGAAGCAAGAAGAGGCCUUGUUAGUGUUUUGGAGUCAAAUA
Molecule: small RNA, 82 nt
Filed under: Arabidopsis thaliana (thale cress)
Lineage: Eukaryota; Viridiplantae; Streptophyta; Magnoliopsida; Brassicales; Brassicaceae
Description: ATSL268300
Source: RNAcentral